This 928-nucleotide ribosomal RNA is filed under the name uncultured archaeon. RNAcentral's name for it is "partial 16S ribosomal RNA". It matches the Rfam family "Archaeal small subunit ribosomal RNA", at positions 1 to 922 of the family's 1478-position model. The record is from RNAcentral.
UUUCCGGUUGAUCCUGCCCGGAGGUCACUGCUAUGGGAAUUCGACUAAGUCAUGCAAGUUGAGGGCACCUUUUUAGGAGACCCAGCGAACUGCUCAGCAACACGUGGAUAAUCUGCCCACAGGACGGGGAUAAUCCCGGGAAACUGGGAAUAAUACCCGAUAGAUCAUUGGUACUGGAAUGUCCUUUGAUCUAAAUGCUCUUUCUACGCCUGUGGAUGAGUCUGCGUCCGAUUAGGCUGUUGUUGGGGUAACGGCCCAACAAACCUACGAUCGGUACGGGUCGUGAGAGCGAUUGCCCGGAGAUGGGAUCUGAGAUAUGAUCCUAGGCCCUACGGGGUGCAGCAGGCGCGAAAACUUUACAAUGUGGGAAACCAUGAUAAGGGAAUUCCCAGUGUUCCUACAUAGUAGGAACUGUUUAGGUGUGUAAAAAGCACCUAAUAGAAAGGGCCGGGUAAGACCGGUGCCAGCCGCCGCGGUAAUACCGGUGGCUCGAGUGGUGGCCGCUAUUAUUGGGUCUAAAGGGUCCGUAGCCGGUUUGGUCAGUCUUCCGGGAAAUCUGACGGCUUAACCGUUAGGCUUUCGGGGGAUACUACCAGGCUUGGGACCGGGAGAGGUAAGAGGUACUACGGGGGUAGGAGUGAAAUCUUGUAAUCCUCGUGGGACCACCAGUGGCGAAGGCGUCUUACCAGAACGGGUCCGACGGUGAGGGACGAAAGCUGGGGGCACGAACCGGAUUAGAUACCCGGGUAGUCCCAGCCGUAAACUAUGCUCGCUAGGUGUCAGGGACGGUGCGACCGUUUCUGGUGCCGCAGGGAAGCCGUGAAGCGAGCCACCUGGGAAGUACGGUCGCAAGGCUGAAACUUAAAGGAAUUGGCGGGGGAGCACUACAACGGGUGGAGCCUGCGGUUUAAUUGGAUUCAACGCCGGG